AGUGAAGAAUAUGACGGUAACUUAUGAAUAAGCACCGGCUAACUACGUGCCAGCAGCCGCGGUCAUACGUAGGGUGCAAGCAUUAUCCGGAGUGACUGGGCGUAAAGAGUUGCGUAGGUGGUUCUAUAAGCGAAUAGUGAAAUCUGGGGGCUCAACCUCACAGACUAUUAUUCGAACUGUAGAACUCGAGAAUGGUAGAGGUAACUGGAAUUUCUUGUGUAGGAGUGAAAUCCGUAGAUAUAAGAAGGAACACCAAUGGCGUAGGCAGGUUACUGGACCAUUUCUGACACUGAGGCACGAAAGCGUGGGGAGCGAACGGGAUUAGAUACCCCGGUAGUCCACGCCGUAAACGAUGGAUACUAGCUGUUGGAGGUAUCGACCCCUCCAGUAGCGAAGCUAACGCGUUAAGUAUCCCGCCUGUGGAGUACGGUCGCAAGACUAAAACAUAAAGGAAUUGACGGGGACCCGCACAAGCGGUGGAUCAUGUUCUUUAAUUCGAUGAUAAACGAUGAACCUUACCAGGGCUUGAAAUCCCGAGAAUUAAUCCGAAAGGAUUGAGUGCUUUAUUGAACUCGGUGACAGGUGUUGCAUGGCCGUCGUCAGCUCGUGUCGUGAGAUGUUUGGUUAAGUCCAUUAACGAGCGCAACCCUUAUCAAUAGUUGGAUUUUUCUAUUGAGACUGCCCCGGCAACGGGGAGGAAGGAGGGGAUGAUGUCAGGUCAGUAUUACCCUUACGUCCUGGGCUAGAAACGUGAUACAAUGGCCGGUACAAUGCGCAGCGAAGCCGCGAGGUGAAGCAAAUCGCAUCAAAACCGGUCCCAGUUCGGAUUGGAGGCUGAAACUCGCCUCCAUGAAGUCGGAAUCG
RNAcentral lists this ribosomal RNA (864 nucleotides) under uncultured bacterium. RNAcentral's name for it is "bacterial SSU rRNA". It matches the Rfam family "Bacterial small subunit ribosomal RNA", at positions 441 to 1334 of the family's 1533-position model. The record is from RNAcentral.